RNAcentral lists this long non-coding RNA (396 nucleotides) under Capsicum annuum. RNAcentral's name for it is "long non-coding RNA (CANN_LNC011395)". The record is from RNAcentral. Lineage: Eukaryota; Viridiplantae; Streptophyta; Magnoliopsida; Solanales; Solanaceae.
UCUCCAUUUUUCUUGAACUCUACUAUCAUUUUCAAAUUUUCUUAAUUCUUGACUUUCUAUCCUUUUUAUCUGCUAUCAUUCUUGCUUCCAAAUUCUAUUCAUUAUGUUUUCUUCUCCUUUUUCUCUUACCAAAACCUUUCUUCUCGGAGGUUUCCCAAAGAAAGAUAAAAGGAAUAAUGAUGUGCCUUUCAAGCCUUGCAUCGAUACUAUUAUUCUCGAGGCCUUUGAUUUCAAAAUGAUUUUAAAGUUCAACCCUGUAUAUUGGUCAGAACCAUAGAACUGCCAGCUCCUAUAGCUCUUUAAUUAAAAUGAGGACAUUCAUAUUUCUCUAAAGGAAAUAAGCAUAGUUCGGGUCCUGACCCUUAAAAACUUUGUGAGAAACCUAACUAUAUGUUC